Molecule: long non-coding RNA, 1363 nt
Organism: Labrus mixtus (cuckoo wrasse)
Lineage: Eukaryota; Metazoa; Chordata; Actinopteri; Labriformes; Labridae
Exons: 3
Source: RefSeq, a predicted model, not a curated record
UUUAGAGAUCGUUUGUGCCACAUGGUAUCUUUGUUUGUCAGCCGACACCCCCCUUUAAGGAUGACAAACUUUAUGUCUUCUGUUCCUGACGAGAUGUUCUCCUUUGGGUUACCUGGAUAAACCCUCCAUCAAUCAUGUCCUGAGUCACUCAUCGACUCACUCUUUAUUGACACUGUCACAUCUUCAUCAUCACACAGACUCAGGGUCCCUGUGUGCCUGUAUGUAACAUCAGUAAAGCUGUCAAGCAACCAGGCCAAGGUAAACAGCCCAGCACCGGGUUCAGGGGUGACGGGGGCCGAGAUGUUUUUCCUCAGGAACCCAGGGACCCCCGGAGGCUUCUGGCUGGGGCCAGGGAGGGGCCGAGGGGGGGAAGAUGAUCCCCUCAGUUGCCCCCCACAUGAACACACAACAACGGGUCGCUCUCAUUUCUCUCUUUUACAGAAUCUCAUUGACAAAUGUACGAUAAAUCAUCAGCACUCACAUACUCCCCUUACUCACAUUUUGCUGCUUAUAUCAUCCCCGUGUUGACAUAGAAAUAUACACAUGUAUGCCUUAAAAUAUGUCCAAAAGAUACAGUAUGCAGAAUGUCAGAGUUCCCAAAUCAAAAAUGUAAUUAGAUUUUGUUCCAACUCUCUGCUGCUCAUGGUUUUAUGAGAUACUUUAGGUGAACUUCUAAUAGGAUCUUGGCUUCUUGUUCUUCUUGGGGGAAUGUGGCAAUCAUUUAUUUCACUUGAAUAGGAAAAACUAGGAGGAACAAGAGGAGAAGGAGGAGUAGGGCUGUCCAAAAAGGAGAACAUGGUAGAGAAAGAAAUAUAGCAAAGGGAGAGGGAGUUAAACGGUGAAUAUGGAUGGAUUGAUAGAAGGAUAUUGGGGAGAAAUGAUAUCUUUAACCCAGGCGUGACCCCUCUCAGCCCCAGCAAGCUGCUCCCUAAGAGGGAGGCAGACAGCCCGGAGAGGGAGAGCAAAGAUAGGGUCCAUCCAGAGGUUGCAAAUCAGAGGCAGCACUAAAAACACAGCAAACUGGGAACAUGAGAGACAGGGAAAAAAGGCAGUGAGCACUGGGAGUUGAAGAAGAGACUAAAAAAGAAAAUUAAAAAAAAAGUGGAGAAGGAUUUAAUGGAGAAAGGAACAAGGUCAGGGGAGAAAAAGAAAGAAGGGAGGCAGAGGGCGAAAUUGUUGAAAGAAAACUUGAGCCAGUCAAGCCAAGAAAAGCAUGUAGAAUUGAAUUAGGGGAGGGGAGAGCCACUGAGCAAACCAACAGGAGAGGAAAGUAGGGGUGCAAGGAGGAAGAGGAGGACCAUUACCCUUCGUACAUCAGCCGUUACAUCCCCUGGCGGCUGCCGUUGAGUGUGUGUGUGUGUGU